Molecule: non-coding RNA, 682 nt
Organism: Cinara cedri
Lineage: Eukaryota; Metazoa; Arthropoda; Insecta; Hemiptera; Aphididae
Source: the annotation of a GenBank genome assembly
ACAACUGCUUUGCAACUAGAAUCUUUUAUCAGUCGCGUGAGCCAUUGUUGAGCAAUAUUGGUUUGGAAUUGAUUUAUGUCUUUUUGCACACGAAUACGAUCAAAUUUUGCUAGUUCAAACAGUUGCUAGUUUUAAGCGAAUUCAUGUUAGAAGAGAAUGUGUCUUUUUUUUUAAAAAAAUUUUAACAUUUAAUUUUUGUGACACAUCAAGUAGUUCAUUUAGGUUAUAAUUGUACAAAAGUUCAUGUUUUUCUACCUCCUCUACCAAUUUAAUGUUUAUUAACUGACCAUUCAUAGUGAAUGAUAAUCUAAUAACUAAUUACCUAUAUGAUAAUAUAAUGAUAAGAUAUAAAUUAAAUUAAUCAUUUAACCAUGAAACUGAAACUCAAAUUCGACCUGCGAGUACAGUUGCACGCGAUUAAUUGGAAACUGAUUAUAAAUCGGUUAAGUUUAAGUUGAUUAAUGAGGGGUUUCCUAUUAUGUAACAUAAUAUACAAGUCACAGAAUGGUUAUUUGUGCAACUGGUUUGUGAUCCUCAUUGCAGAACAGUCUCACCAUGGGCAGAGGGCCUUACAGUAUUUAUACUUGAAUUAUUUUUUGUAGAUUUGCUGAAUUUAUCAAAUAUUAGAUAAAGAACUCAAUGUUAAUAUUUUGUUAAUAGGUUACCAGUAAUAAUGUUGAUU